This 191-nucleotide ribosomal RNA is filed under the name uncultured archaeon. Its description in RNAcentral is "partial 16S ribosomal RNA". The record is from RNAcentral.
GUUGAGUCCAAUUAAACCGCAGACUUCACCCCUUGUGGUGCUCCCCCGCCAAUUCCUUUAAGUUUCAUACUUGCGUACGUACUUCCCAGGCGGCAAACUUAACGGCUUCCCUGCAGCACUGCAUUGACCACAAGUCAAUGCAUCACUGAGUUUGCAUAGUUUACAGCUGGGACUACCCGGGUAUCUAAUCC